RNAcentral lists this ribosomal RNA (376 nucleotides) under uncultured bacterium. Its description in RNAcentral is "bacterial SSU rRNA". It matches the Rfam family "Bacterial small subunit ribosomal RNA", at positions 521 to 895 of the family's 1533-position model. The record is from RNAcentral.
UAAUACAGAGGGGGCAAGCGUUGUUCGGAAUUACUGGGCGUAAAGGGCGCGUAGGCGGCCCGCUAAGUCGAACGUGAAAUCCCCGAGCUCAACUCGGGAACUGCGUCCGAUACUGGUGGGCUUGAAUCCGGGAGAGGGAUGCGGAAUUCCAGGUGUAGCGGUGAAAUGCGUAGAUAUCUGGAGGAACACCGGUGGCGAAGGCGGCAUCCUGGACCGGCAUUGACGCUGAGGCGCGAAAGCUAGGGGAGCAAACGGGAUUAGAUACCCCGGUAGUCCUAGCCCUAAACGAUGAAUGCUUGGUGUGGCGGGUAUCGAUCCCUGCCGUGCCGAAGCUAACGCAUUAAGCAUUCCGCCUGGGGAGUACGGUCGCAAGGCU